Long non-coding RNA from Carassius auratus (goldfish), 2051 nucleotides. RefSeq lists it as uncharacterized. Lineage: Eukaryota; Metazoa; Chordata; Actinopteri; Cypriniformes; Cyprinidae. The record is from RefSeq and is a predicted model, not a curated record. The transcript has 3 exons.
GUGAGUUGCCGGGGACGGGCGAGCUUGCUGCCGGCCGCCCACGAUAUGGAGGGGCGGCUGCCGUCCGUGAGGGAGCGGAGGAGUCGUCGCCAUUCGCCAGGGGGCCGGAGCCUGCUGCUUCCGCGAUUGAGUCCGGAAAACUUAUUCUGGAACAACAGUCUGUGCUGUGAGAUGAGAACAGAGACACACUGAGCUUUAACCACUAACCAUCGACCAACUGCUGACUGAUGAGAAAACAUCAUUAGCUCCUGAGAGACAAAGACAAACUGAACCACAGUGAUCUGAACUGAAGACAGCGACUGUAACACAUUUCAGUUUCAUUCAGCAACAUGAACGUUGAAAAUCAGACCUUGAUGGAUGAACUUGAUCAUCCUACUGAUUAUUAUGACAAUAGUGUCCCUAGUGAUUCAGAUAUCAGAAGGAGUAUCUUCUUCAUCGCUAGUGUUUGUGUUGGUCUGCCAGCUCUGGUUUGGGCUUUUCGUCUUCUGCACCUUCACAGAAAGAUCAGAGGCCGAAUCUCAGUCUUCAUCUUCCUCCUCCUCCUCAAUGACCUGAUACAAUUGCCCCUUCAUCUAUAUAUAGUGACGGGGUUUCUGACAGAAUUCAGAUACUUUAUCCUUGAGCUUGUUCAGUUUUGGUUGGGAUUACAUUGGUGUGGUUUUCAUCUGCAUCAGCUGGUGGCUCUGGAGGGGAUUUUGACUCUGAAAUAUCCGCUUUGUUCUGCUCGUAUUUUCUCAAUGCCCUGUUACAUCAUAAUCUCCAUCCUUGUGCUUUUUUUUUCUAUAGUGAGUGCAUUAUUUAUUUUCCCGCGUUCACAAAAUACAAACAUGUCUUUAUUCAGUCUCAGCACAAGUGUUGUUCCUCUGAUCGUAUUGGCUGUAUCAUCUACAAUCAGCUGUAAAGCCUCUUCCACUCCUGUCAGAAAAAACAGUUCAGUGCUCACUGUUGCUAUUCUUACAUUUGUUAUGAUGUACUUACCUUUCAUGUUCCUCAUCUGUGUGGAUUUACUUUUACAUUUAUAUCCAUAUGUCAACCCAUCUUGGUUGGUAAUGUCUUUCUGUUUGAUGAGUUUGAGAGUGUUUUCAGACUCUAUUCUGUGUGUUUUGGUCUGCAGAGAAAAUCUCAGAGAUGUUCAGACGCCACAAACACACACAGAACCCAACGCUGAUGAGACGUCAGUCUGAACUUGAGUUUCAUUAGUCCUCACGCCUGAAUCUGGCUUCAAAACAAAGUAAAAUUGACCUGUAAAAUGAAAAUACAGUUUUCUUUCUUACCACUAGGGAUGCUUGGGUGUUUUAGGUUUCUUUAAGUAAAGCCAUGUGGAGAGAGUUAGCAUUAGCAAGCUGUAGUAGCCAGCAUGGCUCACCUGCUGAAAACAUUGUGCUGUGUCCUGGUUGGGAAAUGUAUCAUUUCAAGCCAAGUUUUUUUUUUUUUUUUUUUCUAUUGAAAUUAUUGUUGCAGAUAUCCUAUGUUUGGAUUGAUGCUAAGAGUGUAAUACAGUGCAUUUGUAUGUAUUUUAGAAGGACUCUUUAUUGGUGAGGUUAACACAUUAUGGUUCAGUUUGAAUAUGGAUUUAAUGUUCUUUUUCGACAUGGGACCAUAGUAUUGUUUGAUUGUUCCUGGUUAGGAAGAGUCUGAUGCUUGAGAGCUGUGGUUUAAAAGAGUUUGGAAUAUUUGUUUGCUAUCAGCCAACUUCAGCUAUGACAGUGGUUCUCACUUACAGUCCUUGAACUCCACUUCUCUGCACAUUUUGUUUCUCAAAACAUGUUUCUCUUAUUGCUUCAAACGCUUGAUUCCAGUUCGAAGCGAAUAAAUUCAUGCACAGAGCUCACUUCUAACAGGCUUAUAUUCUGAAUCAGGUGUGUUAACAAAGAAAGAAAAUGUGCAGAGCUAGAACUGAGAACCACUGAGCUAUGGACAGUGUUUGGAAUUUGAUGCACUGCAAAUAAGACAAAAUCCUACAAUCUUACAUUGAUUUGUUUCGUUUUUUGAGUUUUUUUUUACUUUUGUGUUCAUUUGUGUUACAUUUUCGGCUAUAUGUUGCUGUAUUA